Small nuclear RNA from Carlito syrichta (Philippine tarsier), 116 nucleotides. Its record names the gene U5. It matches the Rfam family "U5 spliceosomal RNA". From Rfam's summary of the family: U5 RNA is a component of both types of known spliceosome. The precise function of this molecule is unknown, though it is known that the 5' loop is required for splice site selection and p220 binding, and that both the 3' stem-loop and the Sm site are important for Sm protein binding and cap methylation. The record is from Ensembl. NCBI's taxonomy places the organism in Eukaryota, Metazoa, Chordata, Mammalia, Primates, Tarsiidae.
UACUCUGGUUUCUCCUCAAAUCGUAUAAAUCUUUCGCCUUUUACUAAAGAUUUCCGUGGAGAAGAAUGACUUCAGAACUUUCAACUAAUUUUUUGAAGCCUUGUGUUGGCAGGGCU